CAUUAAAGAGUUCUAUAACUCCCAAACCCAUGUGAACAUACCUAACGUUGCCUCGGCAGGUCGCACCUACCUUGUAGCACCCUACCCUGUAGGGCCUACCCGGGAGGUGCGGGUAAGCCUGCCGGCGGCCCACCAAACUCUGUUUGAUAUUGAAUUCUGAACCUAUAACUAAAUAAGUUAAAACUUUCAACAACGGAUCUCUUGGUUCUGGCAUCGAUGAAGAACGCAGCGAAAUGCGAUAAGUAAUGUGAAUUGCAGAAUUCAGUGAAUCAUCGAAUCUUUGAACGCAUAUUGCGCCCAUUAGUAUUCUAGUGGGCAGGACCGUUCGAGCGUCAUUUCAACCCUUAAGCCUUCGUUGCUUAGUGUUGGGAGCCUACGGCAACGUAGCUCCUCAAAGUUAGUGGCGGAGUUGGUUCACACUCUAGACGUAGUAAUUUUUUAUCUCGCCUAUUAGUUGGACUAAUCCCCUGCCGUAAAACCCCCAAUUUAUCAAGGUUGACCUCGAAUCGGUUCAGACAAACUCGCUAAAUUGAAGCAUCUUAGUCAGCGAAGGAAAAGAAACCAACAGGGAUUGCCCUAGUAACGGCGAGUGAAGCGGCAACAGCUCAAAUUUGAAAUCUGGCCCUCGGGUCCGAGUUGUAAUUUGUAGAGGAUGCUUUUGGCGCGGUGCCUUCCGAGUUCCCUGGAACGGGACGCCUUAGAGGGUGAGAGCCCCGUACGGUUGGACACCAAGCCUCUGUAAAGCUCCUUCGACGAGUCGAGUAGCUUGGGAAUGCUGCUCUAAAUGGGAGGUAAAUUUCUUCUAAAGCUAAAUAUUGGCCAGAGACCGAUAGCGCACAAGUAGAGUGA
RNAcentral lists this ribosomal RNA (849 nucleotides) under fungal endophyte. RNAcentral's name for it is "eukaryotic LSU rRNA". The stretch from base 497 to 849 matches the Rfam family "Eukaryotic large subunit ribosomal RNA", at positions 1 to 356 of the family's 3401-position model. The record is from RNAcentral. Lineage: Eukaryota; Fungi.